GAUGAAGAACGCAGCGAAAUGCGAUAAGUAGUGUGAAUUGCAGAAUUCAGUGAAUCAUCGAAUCUUUGAACGCACAUUGCGCCCUUUGGUAUUCCAAAGGGCAUGCCUGUUCGAGCGUCAUUUGUACCCUCAAGCUUUGCUUGGUGUUGGGCGUCUUGUCUCUAGCUUUGCUGGAGACUCGCCUUAAAGUAAUUGGCAGCCGGCCUACUGGUUUCGGAGCGCAGCACAAGUCGCACUCUCUAUCAGCAAAGGUCUAGCAUCCAUUAAGCCUUUUUUUCAACUUUUGACCUCGGAUCAGGUAGGGAUACCCGCUGAACUUAAGCAUAUCAUAAGCGGAGGA
RNAcentral lists this unclassified non-coding RNA (340 nucleotides) under soil metagenome. RNAcentral describes it as "partial contains 5.8S ribosomal RNA, internal transcribed spacer 2, and large subunit ribosomal RNA". The stretch from base 1 to 120 matches the Rfam family "5.8S ribosomal RNA", at positions 35 to 154 of the family's 154-position model. The record is from RNAcentral.